Molecule: microRNA precursor, 61 nt
Filed under: Branchiostoma floridae (Florida lancelet)
Lineage: Eukaryota; Metazoa; Chordata; Leptocardii; Amphioxiformes; Branchiostomatidae
Description: Bfl-Mir-92-o6_pre stem-loop
Source: RNAcentral
AGGUCAGGAUUGAGUGUUAUGCUGUGAACUUGCUGUCAGUAUUGCACUUAUCCUGGCCUGU